This 4258-nucleotide long non-coding RNA is filed under the name Fragaria vesca (wild strawberry). Its description in RNAcentral is "long non-coding RNA (FVES_LNC001114)". The record is from RNAcentral. Lineage: Eukaryota; Viridiplantae; Streptophyta; Magnoliopsida; Rosales; Rosaceae.
AAGAAUAUAGUGAAGUCACUCAUGAAUUUGCAAAAUGGAGGUUCAAUUACUCCGUCAUACCCUUUGGCCAGAGGUAUGAAAAGUAAUCUCUUUGUUGUGAAUUACACGUUGGAGGUUGUGAGUAUUGUCAAUUUCAAUUUGAGAAUUUGAGUUGUUCACAUUGGACUGUAGUAUACAGUCUCCAGUCAUUUUGAGAAUCUUAAUUUUGAUUUCUAACAAGUCUCUGUUUUUCUGUAUCAAAACAGGUUUCGAUUGAACUCUUCUAAAACAGCAACUGGAGUAACCGAAUUGUUAAAUGAACUCUCCUGCAACAAUAAUCGAAACAAUCACUAGGCCUAUCAUUCUUUUGGAAAAUCUUAUCAAAAUAAAUGUUUUUGAAAUUUUAGAAAAACACGUACAUGUGAGGAUUAUUUGUUAUGUUUAGAGUUCAGGAAAAGGAAGGCCGCAGCAGAGCGCGACCGGGAUCUAUCUAGUAUCUAUUCUUUGAGAUGACGUCAGCACUGUUCACGAAGCACUGUUCCCGUGAGCAGUGCUGGGCCUCAGUGCUGGGUGUUGGUGUUGGACAAUGCUGGGCUUCGGUGAUGGACGACUUGGACCUGCAUCCCUUUCUUAAACUCUCUGGAGCCUCUUCUUUUUUAUCUCUCUAGAUUCUUCUCUCGAUCCCUCCCGCCGCUUUGCAUAUCUUUUUCUUUCUCUCUCUCGAUAUCGUCAAGACAGGGGUUCCUGUCAACCUGACCCGAAUUGCAUCGGAGAUCUAGAGGCGAGGGCCGCCGCUGAAGAAUGGGGAAUGAAGCUUUGUCCCUGAAAGAGAAAGCCGCGUCAGGUAGUUGGGCAUGACGAAUGAAGCUUUGUUAAUGAGCUUGGAGGAGGAUGAGAUGGAGAAAGGGGUCGAUUGUGAAGAGGAUGAGGUCUGAUUUGAUAUAUGUGCGAUCAGAUGAGUAGGUCGAUUGGCCAGGAACUGGGGUUGGUUGAGAAGAGGAGGUAUGAUUUGAUGAAAGGAUCUGAUCGGUGUACUUAUCUUAUCCAGCUCUAAUCAUAUGAACCAAACACAUGAAAACAUUAAAGCAAAUCUAAUCUUAUCCUAAUCUAAUCUUAUACUUAUCCUAAACCAUUUCCUAUCCUGGAUACCAAACACAGCCAGGUAGAUUAUCCAAGGAUUUCUCAUCCCCAAAUCGACUGGAUUUGUUUCGUUUUUAUUAUAUAUAGCUCUUGAUUUUGAUUUUUCUUUGUAUGGGUUUCAUAUCAUUUUUGUUUCAUUUCUGCUCAGGAACCCGAACCCUUUUGGGUUGCUUAUGGAUUUUCUUAUUGAUUGGUCAUUGAUGCUUAUUGGUGCAGGUAAGAGGUGAGAAAAAAGAGAGAAGAAAGUUGAUACAUGAAAGGGAGAUUAUUGACAACCAUUCAACUCUGCAGGUAUAUUUUCAGAUACAUUCUUGCAACUUUUCUUAUACUUCUGGAACAUUUAUGAUUUCUGUUUAUCGAUGAACUUAUGACAACCUUGGCCUUUGUUGUAUUUUCUAUCUAAAACAAGGGUUUAAGUUCUCCAACAUGAAUCAAGUCGCUCACAUUAGGGAAAGAGACAAUGUCUUAUGUGUUAAUCUAUUUUGUGAAGUCGAUACAGAAGCUUAAGUUAUUUUUGUUUUCUUUCUAAGUCGAAGAUAUGAGAUUGACAUUCCAUUCCAGGAAAUUCAUCUCACACAGUGAUGUCAAUUAAGGCGAGAAUCUAUGUGUUUGUUGCUUCUUUUAUCCAUGAUAUUCUAUGUAUCUUUUUUCAUACAUUGGUUUAUCUUUGUUCCUCUUCCACAUUAAUAUCAGUCCUCAAAACUUGCAUUUAGAAUCUCAUGUUCACCAUAAUAUAAAUUAGAUGGUUUAUUAUCCACUUAAUAAGUAUGAUACUGUUGUAUGUAACUAUUUGGCAAAUUCACAAUUUUUAUUCCUUUGAUCUAAAUAGAUUGAAUCUCUUUCAGUAUUACUAUCCUUCUCUUUGCUUUUAGUCAGCACUUAUCAUGCACCUCUGCAAAUCAAUCUGCCUAUAGAAAAAUCAGAAUAGUUAUGUAGGUGAAACUGCAAAGGUUGUUGUUAGAUUAAAGAAACAUAUAGUUGAGUAGAAACUGUUUGUUUUGCAUUUAGGAUAUGUAAAACAUGGUAGCUUCAAAGCUUUCUGAGGGGAGUUGAGUGCAGUCAUGUGCUAUUAGGAACUCUGCAAAGCCUGAAGACUCAGAGUUGAUAUGGAUAUGUGCCAUUAAAAAAUCAACAACCCAAACACUCAGUUAGUAAUUAGGAACUCUAAUCAAAUUUCAGAUUGCUACAAGUAGGGUGAUCGAUCAUUUGGAAUCAUGUAUUGCAGAUAUGGGAUAUGAGAUAGUUUUGGUUAUUGUAUUUGAUAGUUUUAAAUUCCAGUUAUCAAGUGAACAAAUUUCUUUGAUCACUGUCUUGCAGAGAUUAAUACAAUUUCUUUGACUCGGUUAGUAAUUUAUUUGACUCAGUUAGUAAUUUCCUAGGAUUGCUUGCUAUACUAGAGAUGGUGGAUGUAAGUAUCAGCUCAAUUGCUUAGAUAGUAUGCUGAAAAUUUGAAUAGCUGAAUUCAUUGUGCUAUUUGAAAGAGAUAAUGUUGCUUUAUAGUGUUCUUAUUAGUCAUUUCCUAAUAUAUUACUAUGUUUGAAGAAUGAAAAAUUGUUGGCUUAUAUCUGAGAACACAUGAUUAAUCUNNNNNNNNNNNNNNNNNNNNUUUUUUCCCUUUGCUAAUUAUAUGCAUGUUUGUCAGUGCUGGUGGAGGACUGCAUUUUUCCAUUCCCUUGACAUCUGCUUUAAAUUGGGAGCAUUGGAAUGUAAUUCUCUUACUGUAUUAUUUGAAUUGAGAUGAUUUGCUGGCAACGUCCUCUCUGAAUUAUGAAGUAAAUGGAUCCCUCCGAGAGUGAGAUGCUAAGGUAAACUUUCUUUCUUCACUAAAAAGUUAUUGUGCUGUCCUUCUUAACUUCUUGGCCACUCUGAUUUGACCUAUAAACUUAAUUAUUCUCUACAACAAGAAUAUAGUGAAGUCACUCAUGAAUUUGCAAAAUGGAGGUUCAAUUACUCCGUCAUACCCUUUGGCCAGAGGUAUGAAAAGUAAUCUCUUUGUUGUGAAAUACACGUUGGUGGUUGUGAGUAUUGUCAAUUUCAAUUUGAGAAUUUGAGUUGUUCACAUUGGACUGUAGUAUACAGUCUCCAGUCAUUUUGAGAAUCUUAAUUUUGAUUUCUAACAAGUCUCUGUUUUUCUGUAUCAAAACAGGUUUCGAUUGAACUCUUCUAAAACAGCAACUGGAGUAACCGAAUUGUUGAAUGAACUCUCCUGCAACAAUAAUCGAAACAGUCACUAGGCCUAUCAUUCUUUUGGAAAAUCUUAUCAAAAUAAAUGUUUUUGAAAUUUUAGAAAAACACGUACAUGUGAGGAUUAUUUGUUAUGUUUAGAGUUCAGGAAAAGGAAGGCCGCAGCAGAGCGCGGCCGGGAUCUAUCUAGUUGUAUACAUAAGGCAUAAAUCAUAUAUGAAGAUAUGAUAUUCCAGGUGGGCUAGGAUUUGUACAAUAAUGUACAAAGCAUAGUAAGGUUCGAAUCCUCCCUUUGCCAUGUUUUGGAUUUACUUCGUCAGGUGGGCUAGGAUUUCGUCAGGCCCAGCCCGAUUCCAGCUUUACUUGAAUGUACCGUCUGUACUCUGUAGAGCAAUUUCUGUUGGUACCCCUCUUUCCUUUUUCGGUAUAGCAAAACUUCCCUCGGAUAAAUUUAGGCAGUCUAAGUUGAAGAUAUUGUCACAGGUAGCUGAAGGCCUGGAAUAUCAUAUCUUCAGAUAUGAUUUAUGCCUUAUGUAUGGGUUAGCUCGGUUGACUUGUGAGUUUCCUGACCUUGUUUGUUGCAGCUGCUAGCAGUUUGCGUCCAUCCAAGUUUCUCCGCUACUUAGUAAAGAGGGAAGACGCUAAAGUUUGUUCUCGUUUUCUUUCCUCAUAAUACAAAUUUUAAACUCAAGCAUGUGGACAACUCGAUAUUGGGUGAUGUAGAAUUGUAGAUUGUAUAUUUGUACCACUCUGGCCAUGAUGCUGGACCUCGCAUGUCAAUUGAUUAAUUCCAUGCUCCAUGCUCUUUAGAAUAUGAGAACUAUUGAGAAUGCAACCCAAAAGAAUAUAAUUAUUAUGGGAUGUUAUCUUACUUGCAAUUCUUAUUUGGAGUUCUUUUUAUCUUGCAAUUCUUAUUGUUUAGCAGAAUUAAUAGAAGAAGUUUUACAGAAUACAG